Molecule: long non-coding RNA, 4692 nt
Organism: Tympanuchus pallidicinctus (lesser prairie-chicken)
Lineage: Eukaryota; Metazoa; Chordata; Aves; Galliformes; Phasianidae
Exons: 3
Source: RefSeq, a predicted model, not a curated record
ACUCAGCAGCUGCACACCUGCACAUGCGAAAGGGCCAUCUGGAAAGCAGAUCACUACAUGAGAAAAAAAAAAAAAGAAAAAAAAAAAAACGUAGAUGGACUAUGGGGCACUCAUAAUAGGGAGGAGACAGUAGUAAAGAGCCUGUUCCCAGGUCAGUGGCUACAAAUAGAGUUGAAAAAACUAUGCAGAUUGUACAUGAGAAAUAUACUUCUGCUGCAUUGAAGACAUAUGAUUUCCAGCAGGUUGUUGAUGUUGAAGAGUACCAGUUCCAAGACUCCAUUAGGACACAAAAUCAUUGACCAUAACCCUCUGGCUGCAACCAUCCAACCAAUUUCCUUAUCCUCUGAAUUGUCCACCCCUAAAAUCCGUAUCUCUCCAAUUUAGAGAUAUGGAUGUGGCAUGAGAACAUGUCAAAGACCAUACAGAAGCUAAGGUAAGUGACAUCAGUUGCCCUCCCUUUGUCUACUGAUGCUAUCACUCCAUCAGAGAAAGCCAUUAGAUUGAUCAGACAUGAUCUGCCCUUGGUGAAGCUGUGCUGGCCGUCUCAGAACAUCUCCUCAUCUCACAUGUGCCUUAAAAUAGCUUCCAGAAGAUUCUGCUCCAUGAUCUUCAUAGGCAUAGAUCUGAGGCUCACCAGCCUGUAGUUCCCUGGGUCUUCCUUUUUCCCACUCCAGAAAAUGGGAGUGAUGCUUGCCUUCUUCGACUCACCAGUGACUUCUUCUGCCACUGAGAAGUGUCACUUUAUUUGAUUUGUAAGAAAAGACUUAGUAAAUGUUUUCAAAUUGGUCAGAACACCACUCUCUACUGACACUUUGCACCAAAGCAUCUACACAAUUCUUGAUGUCACAAAAUGGUCAACAGUAUUUCAAGAGCCAUAUAACUGGUUGUAAGAGAUUAUUCUUUUACAUCAUUGUCUCAGAGCUUGUUGGGGACACAGAUGGACAAGUCCAAGCAAGUCCUGGGCAAGGGUUGUGAAAUCCUUCGAAGGACACAGAUGGACAAGGCCAAGGGCAACGAGAGAGAGAUAAACCACACAUUAGUGGCCAGGAAGCACUCUUUUGUGUGAGCUUAUCUCAAGGAAGAUGGCCAUCUCAGGAGGUGCUGCACAUGACUCUUACCCAAGUGUCCAGGAAUGCCACGAUGGCAGAAGAAGGAUAAAAAGGGGACCUACAGCCAUGAGGUUUACUGGCAACAGAUUCCUCAUGAAGAAGACGAGGUUUCUGACAUGAGAAGCCUCACGCCCUGCCUCUCUCCCUCCUGGACCUGCUCUGUGCUCCAUCAUGAUGCUAAAGAAGAACAAAGGUGUCUGCCAUCAGAUUCCUCACUACAGAAUUCCUGCAUGCUGACAGACUCUCCUGGGCCUGCUACCUGAAUCCUGCUGCUUCCUCCCGGAUUGGCUCUGCUACCUGCUACCUGCUUGCUGCCCAAAGCCAGCCACGCUGCUGCUCUCCCCCUGCUGCUUCUGCCUCGGACCUUCGAAGCGCCGUGCAGCGGGACUGCUGCUGGAUCUUGGUGGUGACUAUCCCCGCUUUAUGUGACUCUUGCUUCUUUCCUAUCUUUUCUAUCGUCCUCCUUCCCUUCCCCAUCACCCUAAUUCGUAAUAGUCACUGUCCUUCCUUUCCCCAUCUCCCUGAUUAGGAUUUAUGAUAAAUUGGUAGGACCAACAUUUGAAGCAUUGUUUCUUAAUCUCAUGCCAGGUAUAAAUAUAUUAAAAACAACCUCCUCUCUCUCCUAUAAAUUGAAGCAAGACACUGGUCAAACUGCUGAUUGAGUAUAAUGAAUUAAUCACACAUUCAAGUAACAAAUGCAUGUGAGAAAUAGUGUCUGUAAUAAGUAUAAAUACAAAACACAGCUACUCUCCCUUACUACACUAGCCAUCAACCUCACAAAACCUUGUAGGAAAGGAACCAAUCAUCAGGAAACACUAAUUCCCAAAAGGCAUCACAACAUUAGUAUGUAAAUGUCUGUAACAGUGGUAACCUACACCUGUUCUAGGCAAGUGUAAAGUUUAUACCUGGAAAUGUUCAGCAAAAACUCAUUUAGGCAUUCAGGUCUUACUGCCACAUUGCUAAUGUACUGUCCCAAAGGAGCACCAAUAAUGUACAUACAUGAACACUGGAUAGUUGAACUGUGAAUAUUCCUUCUUCCCUUGAUGCACAAUUACCUAUCUUUGAAUUUGUAUAUGGAAAUCUUAUUCAGAGUGAUUUAUAUCAACAUAUCCAGAGUAUUUCCUAGCAUUUGUCCAUGAGGAAAUGGUAAGAGGGUCACUAUGAAGAGGGGUUCAUAUGCACUAUGAUAGAUUAAGUGUACUGAGAAGGCCAAUGAAAAUAAUUAGAGAGCUGGCAAAGUUGACAUGUAAAAAAAAACCUUCUGAAAAUUAAAAAUUUCACACAAUUUCACUGUAGAGGAUUAAGAGGAAACACAGUCACUGAGAUAGAAAUAAAAUUUUAAUAUCUAUAUGACUAAUAUUCUGAAUUAUUAAAGAAUUGUUUAGAAAAGACAAAAUACAUAGAGUUAUAAAAAAGUAAGUACUGAAAAAAUCUGCAGCUAAGCAUUGUGAAAAACUACUUGGCAGUGAGAUCUGCAAAGCAGUACAAAAGCAUCUCAAGGGAAGUAGUGGAAUCUCCAUCAUUUGGGAUGUUUAAAACCAAUCUAGACAAAUUGUUGGAAAUGUUCUAUAGGGAAUAGUCCUGAAUUGGUAAAGAGACAGACUGGAUGACCUAACAGGUCUUUUUCCAUCUGUAAUGUCUAUUACUCUGUAAUUGUCUCAUGUCCUCAAUCCACACAUUAAGCAAUGCUCAUAUAGCUCCAGCGCCAAAUGGUUUAGUUCCAAAGCUCCCACUCCUUCUUUACUCAUCAUUUAAGACAAACAGAGCAAAUCCUACUUAGGAAUGAAAAUGUUCAUAGCAAGAUCAACAAGGAAAAAUGAUUCUGAGGCCCAAGUCAUUUCUUUUACACAAGAAGUUCUAGGUCUGCUAAUAUGCACCACUAGAAUACAAACAGCUUCAAAAUCGUACACAGCUCACUUCAGUGCUUCUGCUUCUUAGUACAACUUGCAUUUUUUAAGUUAGUGUUUAGUAAAUCCUGUUGCAAACUAGCUUUCUGUCUUGAUUUUAUGAUUGUUGGUUAUCGGUAUUCCACAUCAUAACAUCAUGUAGUGCACUGGGAGUUUAACUGAUAAUGCUCAAGUUCCUGGUACCUGUCUGGAAGAGAAGAACUACAUUCCCCAGGGAGUUCUGUGGUCAGAGAGGAGCUAUGGCAAGGUCACCUGAUGUGCUCUUCUUCGUUGGCUCUUCUUUGUUGGCUCUCCUCCUGUCUCCCUGCUGCUCAACUGGACUGCGCAUCUCACCUCAGCAUUAUGGUGAGGCCUAUCCACCUUUCAGACAUUCUCUUUCUCAUUAUAUUUGAUUUAUUAGCUGCAAUUCUAAUUACAUUGCAUUAUAGUGUGUUAUCUUGCGUUCCGAUACAAUAUUUAGUAAAUUAGUUUGUUUCUCUUCAGAUCGUUGCUGCUGUUUUUAAUUACUUUGGGGUCCCCUGUUUCCCUUUUUCCGGAGGCGUGGAUUUUCCAAAAUCCCUCCGCCCCACUGGUCAUGGAACCGGGCCAAACCAGCCUGUAAAUCAUUGACACUUUCAAACAUUUCUGUCAGGCACACAAAGCUUUGCAGUUUUGAGAAAAUGAGAAGAGUUGACAGACCACAGCCACACCUUGAUCAACACCUGUAAGAUUCUUCAGUUUGACUUUGUUUCACCAAGAGUAGUACUUUAAAUGACUGUGUUUGGCUCUGUUAUCUCAUGAUUGUUCUAUACUGUUAUUAAUCAAAAGGAACAUACAUUAAGAACAACUAAAAGAAAGAAAGUUACUUGAUUACUUGUUUUGAGCACAUUUUAGUUAAAAAACCUAUGGAUCUUGAAGUGCUUGAUUUCGAUUACCAAAGUAAGUCUUCACUUUAUAUUAUAUAGUAUAAAUGUAUUAUGUGAAGUAUAAAUAAUUUAUAUAAUAUAGAAUAUUGAAUUAAUUACUAUGAAAUCAAGUUACAAUUUUAUUGUCUCUUUGUAGAACAAAAAGAUUAUAUAUUAUAUGUAUAUAUAAGAUUUUUAACAUGUUUACAUGAUUUUUAUAUUGUUUUCUACUUUGCUUUCUUUAAUAUUCACAGAGGGAGAGUUAACCUGGUAGCUUAGGCCAGCUUAUCCUUUCUUGGUGUAGUGAACAAUAGUUGCAAAUGACGCAAGUUAACUUGUUUACAUAAUAUGAUUUACCAGUACAUUAGUAAUCACAAUUUUCUAUGGCCGUGCUUAUUCUAGAACAGUAAUAUCCAGGCACAGACUUACAAAUUUGCAAUAGUUAUAUAUUUAGGAUAGAGUAUUUCUCAUACUUUUUUUUUUUUUUUAAGACCAAAUUGGAAAAAAAAAAUCACAUUUUUAAAGCAAGGAUUUUUCAGUGUAAGUACUGCACAUAUCAAGUUAUUAUAAAGUGACAAGACAAAUACACAGCAAGUUAUCUACUAUCAUGUCUGAAGUAGAGAAUGAAAAAAAUCAGAAAUUUAAUGAUCUUCUAAAAUGAAUCUUGCAAUUGUUUAAAAGGAAAACAAUAUAGGUAGAAAAGCUUUCAUUGUUAUAAAAAAAAAAAAAGCCUACUAAACCAAACUACUAUAAACUUAUCAAAUAAUGAAUAAAACGAAAACCCAAAAUGAA